AUUGAACGCUGGCGGCAGGCCUAACACAUGCAAGUCGAGCGAGCGGCGGACGGGUGAGUAAUGUCUGGGAAACUGCCUGAUAGAGGGGGAUAACUACUGGAAACGGUAGCUAAUACCGCAUACCAUCAGAUGUGCCCAGAUGGGAUUAGCUGGUAGGUGGGGUAACGGCUCACCUAGGCGACGAUCCCUAGCUGGUCUGCGAGGAUUACCAGCAACACUGGACCUGGGAAACGGUCCAGACGCCUACGGGAGGAAGCAGUGGGAAAUAUUGCACAAUGGGCGCAAGCCUGAUGCAGCCAUGCCGCGUGUGGGAAGAAGGCCUUCGGGUUGUAAAGCACUUUCAGCGGGGAGGCGUUACCCGCAGAAGAAGCACCGGCUAACUCCGUGCCAGCAGCCGCGGUAAUUC
Molecule: ribosomal RNA, 406 nt
Filed under: uncultured bacterium
Lineage: Bacteria
Description: partial 16S ribosomal RNA
Rfam family: Bacterial small subunit ribosomal RNA
Source: RNAcentral